RNAcentral lists this ribosomal RNA (204 nucleotides) under uncultured bacterium. RNAcentral's name for it is "partial 16S ribosomal RNA". It matches the Rfam family "Bacterial small subunit ribosomal RNA", at positions 137 to 334 of the family's 1533-position model. The record is from RNAcentral.
AAGGGGAUAACACUUGGAAACAGGUGCUAAUACCGCAUAACAGUUUAUGCCGCAUGGCAUAAGAGUGAAAGGCGCUUUCGGGUGUCGCUGAUGGAUGGACCCGCGGUGCAUUAGCUAGUUGGUGAGGUAACGGCUCACCAAGGCCACGAUGCAUAGCCGACCUGAGAGGGUGAUCGGCCACACUGGGACUGAGACACGGCCCAG